Long non-coding RNA from Oreochromis aureus, 745 nucleotides. The record is from Ensembl. Lineage: Eukaryota; Metazoa; Chordata; Actinopteri; Cichliformes; Cichlidae.
CUGAUUUUCUUCUAUCAGGAUGUAAAACAGAAUCUGUCCUCCCGUCAGUCUUCCUUUGUGGACGCAUCAAACUCAGCUGUGGCUCAGAGGAAACUCUUCCUCACUACGGGGAACUCUGAGCCUUUACUGGUGAAAUGUCUGUUCUUCCUGAGAACCACUGAGAAGGCCAUAACCACCGCUAACGUGCAGCAGGAAGUGAACUUUGGCGUGUUGGACUGCAGCGGCGGCAGCGGCAUCCUGAACAGUCUGGAAACUCUGCUGACUCACAUCAUGUUACCUGCUCUCAGGUCGCAGCAGUCAUGGGGCUCUGUGCAGGACGGCGCCUCGUGUCCACACGUCCAGUCCUUCCUGUCCUCGGUGGAUCAGGUUGUCAGUAAUCUGAGCUCAGCCAGACUGAACAUGGAGAGAAAGUUCCAGCUGCAGCACAUCGAGCUUCCUGACGCCAUCAGCCAGCUGAGCAGCCCUGCAGACUACAGAGCAGCAGGUAUGAAGCUCAAGCUGUUCACAUCUCACACAAACAAUAAGACUGUUGGAAAUACAGGAAACAUCAUUUAAAAGGUUUAAAAAUCAACUCUCAGGUAAAUCAAACCAGUUUAUCUGUGGAGGCUGAAGGAAGCAUCUGACCUGAGACGAUGGCUUCUUUGAAAUAAUGAGUCCGUGUUCACGUGUGUUUAGAGAAACUCGUGUGUUUCGCUCUCAGCCAAUAACAGUGAGCUGGUGGAGCGUCUUGAGGAGGUGUUGACCC